GAUCCUGGCUUAGGAUGAACGCUGGCGGCGUGCCUAACACAUGCAAGUCGAGCGAGAUACACCUGAUUGAUGCUUCGGUGAUAGACGGUGUGGAAAGCGGCGGACGGGUGAGUAACGCGUAGGCAACCUGCCCCUUACACAGGGAUAGCCAUUGGAAACGAUGAUUAAAACCUGAUGACACCUUGAGAUGACAUCUUCCCAAGGUCAAAGAUUUAUCGGUAAGGGAUGGGCCUGCGUCUGAUUAGAUAGUUGGUGAGGUAACGGCCCACCCAAGUCAACGAUCAGUAGCCGACCUGAGAGGGUGAUCGGCCACAUUGGAACUGAGACACGGUCCAAACUCCUACGGGAGGCAGCAGUGGGGAAUAUUGCACAAUGGGGGAAACCCCUGAUGCAGCAACGCCGCGUGAAGGAUGAAGGUCUUCGGAUUGUAAACUUCUGUCCUUGGGGAAGAUAAUGACGGUACCCAUGGAGGAAGCCCCGGCUAACUACGUGCCAGCCGCGGC
This 503-nucleotide ribosomal RNA is filed under the name uncultured bacterium. RNAcentral's name for it is "bacterial SSU rRNA". It matches the Rfam family "Bacterial small subunit ribosomal RNA", at positions 15 to 518 of the family's 1533-position model. The record is from RNAcentral.